This 767-nucleotide long non-coding RNA is filed under the name Dasypus novemcinctus (nine-banded armadillo). RNAcentral describes it as "lncRNA (ENSDNOG00000052244.1)". Lineage: Eukaryota; Metazoa; Chordata; Mammalia; Cingulata; Dasypodidae. The record is from RNAcentral.
GCGGGGGCCACGAGGGAGCCCGGGAACAGCUGAGCCGACACCUCGCUCAGGAGACCAUUAGGUGCCACCUGCCUGUGACACGUGGCUCAGGGUAAGAAGCCUUGGCUGAGUCAGGACACUUCAGUUUGAGGGGAUGGAAGCCUUAAUAUUCUCAGGUAGCUUUAAAAGAGCAUCAAGGGAGACUGUGAAGAAAUGGGAUUAGACCCUACAUAUUGAAAAACCUCGUUACACUGGAGCCGUCUUCUCCAUCCUUCUGCGUCUGCCCGCGUGAAGAUGAGCCCGUCCACGCCCGGCAGAGUAAGAGGCUCCCGAAGGCGUCCGACGCCCUCACCUGUGGACCCGUGAACCAGUCCUCACAAGGACAGAGGGGGCUUGCAGAGGCCAUUAAGGCUGAGACAGGCUGACCACCCUGCGGUGACCUGGCGGAAGAGAGGGAGUGACGAGAUGUGACAGCACCUUGACCCACCCUUGCUGGCUUUAAAAACGGAGGAGGGGGCCCUGAGGCAAGGCACGGGGGCAGCCUCUAGAAGCCCAAAAGGCGAGGACACAGCCUCUCCGCAGAGCCUCCAGGAGGGAACACAGCUCCGCGGCACCUUGGUUUCAGCCCAGGGAGACCUACGUAAGAACUGCAAGAAAACAGGUUUUUGUUUCUUCAGCCACUAAGUUUGUGGGAAUUUGUUAGGAUAGCAAUAGAAAAUGAAUGCAGAUUUGAAAAUGAGCUCUUUAUGGUGUACAAUUUUUUUUUUAUUUGAAAUUUUAUGGGUGGU